RNAcentral lists this long non-coding RNA (711 nucleotides) under Phocoena sinus (vaquita). Its description in RNAcentral is "lncRNA (ENSPSNG00000017609.1)". The record is from RNAcentral. Lineage: Eukaryota; Metazoa; Chordata; Mammalia; Artiodactyla; Phocoenidae.
CUUCCCCAUCCUUGGUCGCCAUCCCGGAGACUGCUUUCAUGGAGAUGUCACUGGCUGCUGAGCCUCUGGCUCGUGGAUUCACUCAGCGGGAGACGAGAGGGCAGGAGGAGAGAGAGCUGGAAGCUUUGCUCCCAGCGCCCUCCCUGCCGGGGUUGCCUGCCUCAUCCUUCAAAGCCACCACUCCUACCGGGGAGCCCCCUCCACGCGUAGCUGCCCCUUGAGGAUGCUGGUCACUUCAAGGUGAGCCUCUGGGGUCCUGUGUUCUCUGUCAUUUGUUUCUGAAACCUUGCCCCCAGUUUUCUCAACAGAGCCCUUCUUAAAAUCUUCUCCAUUGCCCAGUUAGAGCUUGACGUCUGUCUCCCGACAGGACUCUGGUGUUUCAUGAGAAGACCUUGCGUCAGGCUGUGCAGUCUGUGUGCUUAGGACCCCAGGGCAUCCAAAGGGAAGUUUGCUCUCCCAGAGAGAGACAGGCACCUAUUCUUGGAGAGGAUGAGCCCAGGAGCUGAGGGGAGAGCUAGUCCCAAGCCGGUACCUGACUCCAGGCAGAAGCAGUACUCCAGGAGCCCCAGGGCGGCGGAAGCGUUGCAGAAGAUGGCAAAGCUCGUCAGAACAGUGCCCUCCUCUGGGGCAGUGGUACAGUUUCAGGUUGAAGGAAUGGUGCCACGGAAGAAUGUUUCUGGGGAAAUGACCCCCGCUUCACCCAGACUCUGA